RNAcentral lists this ribosomal RNA (492 nucleotides) under uncultured bacterium. RNAcentral describes it as "partial 16S ribosomal RNA". It matches the Rfam family "Bacterial small subunit ribosomal RNA", at positions 29 to 507 of the family's 1533-position model. The record is from RNAcentral.
AGUGAACGCUGGCGGUAGGCCUAACACAUGCAAGUCGAACGGCAGCACAGUAAGAGCUUGCUCUUACGGGUGACGAGUGGCGGACGGGUGAGGAAUACAUCGGAAUCUACUUUUUCGUGGGGGAUAACGUAGGGAAACUUACGCUAAUACCGCAUACGACCUACGGGUGAAAGCAGGGGAUCUUCGGACCUUGCGCGAUUGGAUGAGCCGAUGUCGGAUUAGCUAGUUGGCGGGGUAAAGGCCCACCAAGGCGACGAUCCGUAGCUGGUCUGAGGGGAUGAUCAGCCACACUGGAACUGAGACACGGUCCAGACUCCUACGGGAGGCAGCAGUGGGGAAUAUUGGACAAUGGGCGCAAGCCUGAUCCAGCCAUACCGCGUGGGUGAAGAAGGCCUUCGGGUUGUAAAGCCCUUUUGUUGGGAAAGAAAAGCAGCAGGUUAAUACCCCGCUGUUCUGACGGUACCCAAAGAAUAAGCACCGGCUAACUUCGUG